This 253-nucleotide ribosomal RNA is filed under the name uncultured bacterium. Its description in RNAcentral is "partial 16S ribosomal RNA". It matches the Rfam family "Bacterial small subunit ribosomal RNA", at positions 524 to 776 of the family's 1533-position model. The record is from RNAcentral.
UACGUAGGGUGCAAGCGUUGUCCGGAAUUAUUGGGCGUAAAGAGCUCGUAGGCGGUCUGCCGCGUCGGCUGUGAAAACUCGGGGCUCAACUCCGAGCUUGCAGUCGAUACGGGCAGGCUAGAGUUCGGCAGGGGAGACUGGAAUUCCUGGUGUAGCGGUGAAAUGCGCAGAUAUCAGGAGGAACACCGGUGGCGAAGGCGGGUCUCUGGGCCGAUACUGACGCUGAGGAGCGAAAGCGUGGGGAGCGAACAGG